This 566-nucleotide long non-coding RNA is filed under the name Astyanax mexicanus (Mexican tetra). RNAcentral describes it as "lncRNA (ENSAMXG00005001337.1)". Lineage: Eukaryota; Metazoa; Chordata; Actinopteri; Characiformes; Acestrorhamphidae. The record is from RNAcentral.
CUCUCUGAUGCUGGAACUUACUACUGUGCUGUAGCUGCAUGUGGACACAUCAUCUUUGGAGAUGGAACCAAACUGGACUUUGCAGAGAACAGUGUUUUGGAACCAACCAACAUACUUCUGUUUUUGGUGGCAUCAAACAUCAUAUCAGUGGCCGCACUUUUAUUUAUGUGCAGAAAACAGAACUGUCACUGUAACGAUGCUGCUGAGGGUCGCAAAGUUCUGGUGAUUUCUUAAUUUUUUUUUUCUCCUUUCCGCUACAGUCCAAUAUCUCCAAUAUCUACUACUUAAUGUAUGUUCAUGCAACUGUCUGCUUUGGAAAUAUAAUUCUUAUUUUAAUUAAAUUCUGUUUAUUUUUUACAGGCUGAAUGUACUAAAGCUGUGAAGUUUGCUGCGGGGAGUUUUGCCAGUGAACCAAAGAAGAUGACUGAAGGUUCUGAAGUUUAUUCCCAUGUCAUUUAUUACCAACAAAACUGAAUUUUGUAAUCCUUACAAAACAUUUUCUGCCUUAAAGGAGAACUCUGGUGUAAAAUAGACUUUUAGUGUAAUAAAACAUAAUGAAUAGCCCA